This 477-nucleotide ribosomal RNA is filed under the name uncultured organism. Its description in RNAcentral is "partial 16S ribosomal RNA". It matches the Rfam family "Bacterial small subunit ribosomal RNA", at positions 332 to 800 of the family's 1533-position model. The record is from RNAcentral.
UACACUCCUACGGGAGGCAGCAGUGGGGAAUAUUGCACAAUGGGCGCAAGCCUGAUGCAGCCAUGCCGCGUGUAUGAAGAAGGCCUUCGGGUUGUAAAGUACUUUCAGCGGGGAGGAAGGCGAUAAGGUUAAUAACCUUGUUGAUUGACGUUACCCGCAGAAGAAGCACCGGCUAACUCCGUGCCAGCAGCCGCGGUAAUACGGAGGGUGCAAGCGUUAAUCGGAAUUACUGGGCGUAAAGCGCACGCAGGCGGUCUGUCAAGUCGGAUGUGAAAUCCCCGGGCUCAACCUGGGAACUGCAUUCGAAACUGGCAGGCUAGAGUCUUGUAGAGGGGGGUAGAAUUCCAGGUGUAGCGGUGAAAUGCGUAGAGAUCUGGAGGAAUACCGGUGGCGAAGGCGGCCCCCUGGACAAAGACUGACGCUCAGGUGCGAAAGCGUGGGGAGCAAACAGGAUUAGAUACCCGGGUAGUCCCAUGA